ACAAAAAAAAAAAAAAAAAGGAACAGAAGACAGAAAGUUUGUGCUGUACUAACAUACCCCAUCUCUUUCUUUUGCUGGGGGACAUCUCUCUCCAGUUUUUGGCAAAAAGCCUAUAUAAGCUAGCAGAUCGUACAUCAAGUGUUCUGAUUGAGCUUGGGAGAAAAUUUCCAGACCCUCUACAUGCUAUUUGUUCUCUCUCACAAGAGGUCUCUUCUCUUUUUACAGGAUUCUUUUGUUUUGUAGAAAUGAUGCCACGGUUUCAGGAAGAUUUCUCAUCAACAGCCUCUUUGAUUCCUUUAUUCUGUCGAGCAGAAUCUUUCCUAGUCCAUCAAUUUCUGGUUCAUAUUGCUCAUAAACGAAGAAGGCCGUAAAGGAAAAGACUAGGGCUAUUCCUACCAUUCCUACCACCAGAGUCAUUGAUCGCAACAGAAUCAACUUCAGAAAAUAGAGGGAGAACAUGACCUUUAAGAAUUUAUUCCAAUCCUCUCCUUGGGCCAAUAAUCUUACAUUCUUGUUAACCCAUCUAUUCCACAGAUAUGCUAUGAAUGUCACUGAAUCUUUCACCACUGUUUCUGAAAUUUCAAACCAAGACAAAGAUAUCCUCUGAAUGGUAAAACCGGAUAUCUCUAGUGGUAGAAUCCCAUAUCCAUAGAGGAUGGUAGUUAUUAUCAGCAGAAGCUUUGCAACAGAUGAUGUAAAAGUCCUUUCAGAAAGUAAAAACCAGUAAAACAACAUAGCAAAGCAAAGGAAAUAUGUAAAUGUUCUCUUCUCAUCUCUCCAAAGUAAAAUGUCUGCAACUUUCCCACUGCCUAGCAGCUUGUCAACCUUUGAUUGUUCUUCAAAAUUAGUGCACCUUAUGAAAGAUGGGUCCUUGACCAAGUGUGAGAAUGCGUCAAUGGUCAAUGCAAUACCAUCAUCUAGAGAGACAACUGGUGAGUAUCCAAUGUAUUUUUGGGCUGCAUUGCAGUUAAAAGUCCUAGUGUGUGAAGCUAAACGGAAGUAGUAAGCUGACAGCGAAUGAUUAUAUUUUUUGAAACCCAACUUUUCAUGUGUCCAUUUGACAAACAAGAGAACAUACCACAUCAUACUGGCAGGGAAUUUUAUCAAAGGUCUUUGAUACCCCAAGCCUUCCAACAUCAAUGAUACAAAUUCCCAAAACUUCAUGGGCUCGAGAUUAGUGAUGAAAAAUGCCUUGCCAGCCACAGAGAUCAUCUGAGAAUCCAGAGCUUCUUCUGCACAGAUGUGGGCGUGAAUAACAUUCUCAGCAUAGGUGAAGUCAGACAUAUUUUCACCACUUCCUAUAAUAAACUUUGCAAAACCAGAUUUUGCUAAUUUCAUUAAGAAUGGCACAAGCUGUGUGUCUCCAGGUCCAAAGACAUUGCUUGGACGAAGUGCACAUGUCAAAAGGCCAUCAAUAUUGUUAGCAAACAGGAUCAGUGCUUCUGCAUGAGCCUUAAGGUCACUCAACAUGUCCUCAAAUCUCCAAUGGCAUGGUAAGGACUCAUCUCCAUUGCAUAUAUCAUGUGAACCAUCAAAAAUUACAUCUGCAGAACUGUUAUAUAUCAGCUUUCGAACUUUGCACUCUCGGCAAGCAUUGAUGACAUUUUUAGCUCCUUGAACUAUAAUUUUGUAGCAAUAAUAGAAAUCGUGAUUCCAUAAAUCAGUAGCUUCCAUAUAAAAUACUACAGAUGCACCCUCAAUAGCUUUGACGAUUGAAGAGACGUCGAGAACAUCAAGACGAUGGCAGGAAGCACGGCCGGAAGAGAUGGCGUCGUUAAGAAAGGAGUCAGAAGAGUCAGUGAGGUGGAGUUGCAAAGAGUGAGGGGAAUCGGAGACUCGAACGAUCCAGUUACCCAGUUUAAGGAGGGUGAAGACGAGCGAUCUUCCUAGAAACCCUCGCCCUCCAAGAACCGCGCAGGUCUUAGGGUUUAAAUCCCCAAAUGGAACCUCGAUCGCCAUUAACGACCACAGAGAGAGAGAGAGAAAACGAAAUCGAUAUAAUCAGAGAGAGAGAGAGAGCGUAGCGUAGAGAUAAUAUAAAAG
Molecule: unclassified non-coding RNA, 2043 nt
Filed under: Hevea brasiliensis (rubber tree)
Lineage: Eukaryota; Viridiplantae; Streptophyta; Magnoliopsida; Malpighiales; Euphorbiaceae
Source: RNAcentral